GAUGAACGCUGGCGGCGUGCCUAAUACAUGCAAGUCGAGCGAACAGACGAGGAGCUUGCUCCUCUGACGUUAGCGGCUGACGGGUGAGUAACACGUGGAUAACCUACCUAUAAGACUGGGAUAACUUCGGGAAACCGGAGCUAAUACCGGAUAAUAUAUUGAACCGCAUGGUUCAAUAGUGAAAGACGGUUUUGCUGUCACUUAUAGAUGGAUCCGCGCCGGAUUAGCUAGUUGGUAAGGUAACGGCUUACCAAGGCAACGAUGCGUAGCCGACCUGAGAGGGUGAUCAGCCACACUGGAACUGAGACACGGUCCAGACUCCUACGGGAGGCAGCAGUAGGGAAUCUUCCGCAAUGGGCGAAAGCCUGACGGAGCAACGCCGCGUGAGUGAUGAAGGUCUUCGGAUCGUAAAACUCUGUUAUUAGGGAAGAACAAAUGUGUAAGUAACUAUGCACGUCUUGACGGUACCUAAUCAGAAAGCCCCGGCUAACUACGUG
This 497-nucleotide ribosomal RNA is filed under the name uncultured bacterium. Its description in RNAcentral is "partial 16S ribosomal RNA". It matches the Rfam family "Bacterial small subunit ribosomal RNA", at positions 28 to 507 of the family's 1533-position model. The record is from RNAcentral.